AUACAAACUAAUACAAAACAUAUUCCAAACCACAUCUAAUUUUCACCUAACUAUAUACACUUUAGAAAUGGAGAAGUCCUCAGUUAAGUUGGCUUGCAUGUUGUUGAUGUUCUUUAUUGUCUCUGAAACAUUGUUCGUCUCAGAAGCAAGACAUGUAGUAAACGUUCCAUGCAAUACUGAGAAAGAUUGUUCGAAUCCAGGCCGAUGUAUUUGCAACUUCCACCUAUGUUUUUGUAAGGCAGAAUCUACGGAGACAAUCUUGGACAAAAUCCUUCCAAAAUCUUUGGGAGAACAAAAAACAACUCCUUGAAGACUAAGUUGACAAACAAACUCGUUCCUACUUUUCCAUUUGUAUCAACACACACAUAUAUAGCUCAUGAGAUUUGGAAAAGAGAUAAUGUAUUUUCCUAUCUUACACUAAAUAAUAUAUGAGUUAUGGUU
Cucumis melo (muskmelon) is the source of this 441-nucleotide long non-coding RNA. RefSeq lists it as uncharacterized. The transcript has 2 exons. NCBI's taxonomy places the organism in Eukaryota, Viridiplantae, Streptophyta, Magnoliopsida, Cucurbitales, Cucurbitaceae. The record is from RefSeq and is a predicted model, not a curated record.